This 501-nucleotide ribosomal RNA is filed under the name uncultured Lachnospiraceae bacterium. RNAcentral describes it as "bacterial SSU rRNA". It matches the Rfam family "Bacterial small subunit ribosomal RNA", at positions 8 to 507 of the family's 1533-position model. The record is from RNAcentral. Lineage: Bacteria; Bacillati; Bacillota; Clostridia; Lachnospirales; Lachnospiraceae.
AGAGUUUGAUCCUGGCUCAGGAUGAACGCUGGCGGCGUGCCUAACACAUGCAAGUCGAGCGAAGCGAUUUUGAGGAAGUUUUCGGAUGGAAUCGAAAUUGACUUAGCGGCGGACGGGUGAGUAACACGUGGGUAAUCUGCCUUAUACAGGGGGAUAACAGUUAGAAAUGACUGCUAAUACCGCAUAAGCGCACGGGAACGCAUGUUUCUGUGUGAAAAACUCCGGUAGUAUAAGAUGAGCCCGCGUCUGAUUAGCUGGUUGGUGGGGUAACGGCCUACCAAGGCGACGAUCAGUAGCCGGCCUGAGAGGGUGAACGGCCACAUUGGGACUGAGACACGGCCCAAACUCCUACGGGAGGCAGCAGUGGGGAAUAUUGCACAAUGGGGGAAACCCUGAUGCAGCGACGCCGCGUGAGUGAAGAAGUAUUUCGGUAUGUAAAGCUCUAUCAGCAGGGAAGAAAAAAAGACGGUACCUGACUAAGAAGCCCCGGCUAACUACGUG